RNAcentral lists this unclassified non-coding RNA (164 nucleotides) under uncultured fungus. RNAcentral's name for it is "sequence contains ITS1". Lineage: Eukaryota; Fungi. The record is from RNAcentral.
UUGUUUUGUUUUGUUUGUUAUUCAGACAUAAGAUGAGUGAAAAAAUCUCGGUGGAAGGCCAUCUCUGACCACUCCACCAAGCAACAGUGUAAGUUCACAAGUGUAUGAGAGAAUGUCAAAAGACAAAUUCAUUAAUGAUCCUUCCGCAGGUUCACCUACGGAAA